RNAcentral lists this ribosomal RNA (1311 nucleotides) under uncultured organism. Its description in RNAcentral is "16S ribosomal RNA". It matches the Rfam family "Bacterial small subunit ribosomal RNA", at positions 92 to 1439 of the family's 1533-position model. The record is from RNAcentral.
UCAGCGGCAGACGGGUGAGUAACACGUAGAUGACGUACCCUCAAGACGGGGAUAACGGAUGGAAACAUGCGCUAAUACCGGAUGACCUUACGAUGUCAGAAUGGUAAGGAAAGCUACGGCGCUUGAGGAGCGGUCUGCGGCCCAUCAGCUAGUUGGUAGGGUAAAGGCCUACCAAGGCGAAGACGGGUAGGGGGUGUGAGAGCACGGCCCCCCACAAUGGGACUGAGACACGGCCCAUACUCCUACGGGAGGCAGCAGCAGGGAAUAUUGCACAAUGGACGGAAGUCUGAUGCAGCGACGCCGCGUGAGUGAAGAAGGCCUUCGGGUUGUAAAACUCUUUUGAGGGGGAAGAGCGAGGACGGUACCCCUGGAAUAAGCGUCGGCUAACUACGUGCCAGCAGCCGCGGUAAGACGUAGGACGCGAGCGUUAUCCGGAUUUACUGGGCGUAAAGCGUCUGUAGGCGGAUGUGUAAGUUGGGCGUGAAAGCUCCGGGCUUAACCCGGAGAGGCCGUUCAAUACUGCAUAACUUGAGGGUGUCAGAGGGGAGCGGAAUUCCCGGUGUAGCGGUAAAAUGCGCAGAGAUCGGGAGGAACACCAGUGGCGGAGGCGGUUCCCUGGGGCACACCUGACGCUGAGAGACGAAAGCUAGGGGAGCGAACAGGAUUAGAGACCCUGGUAGUCCUAGCCCUAAACGAUGAAUGCUAGGUGUGGGAUCGAAUGUUUCCGUGCCGGAGCGAACGCGAUAAGCAUUCCGCCUGGGGAGUACGUCCGCAAGGUUAAAACUCAAACGAAUUGACGGGGCCCCGCACAAGCAGCGGAGCGUGUGGUUUAAUUCGAUGCUACACGAAGAACCUUACCUGGGUUUGACAUGUAGGUGGUAGUGAAUCGAAAGGUGAACGACCCUUCGGGGAGCCUACACAGGUGCUGCAUGGCUGUCGUCAGCUCGUGCCGUGAGGUGUCGGGUUAAGUCCCGUAACGAGCGCAACCCUUGCUCCUAGUCACAAGUGUCUAGGGGGACUGCCGGCGGAAAGCCGGAGGAAGGUGGGGAUGACGUCAAGGCAAAGUCCCGCAUUAUCUUCAGGGCUACACACACGCACCAAUGGCCGGUACAAAGGGCAGCGAAACCGCGAGGCGGAGCGAAUCCGAGAAAAGCCGAUCGUAGUUCGGAUAGCAGGCUGCAACCCGCCUGCUUGAAGCUGGAGUUGCUAGUAACCGCGCGUCAGCCAUAGCGCGGUGAUACGUUCCCGGGGCUUGUACACACCGCCCGUCACGUCAUGGGAGUCGGUAACGCCUGAAGCCGGUAGUCUAAC